UACAGAGGUGGCAAGCGUUGUUCGGAAUUACUGGGCGUAAAGGGCGCGUAGGCGGCCCGUCAAGUCCCGUGUGAAAGCCCCCGGCUCAACCGGGGAACGGCGCGGGAAACUAGCAGGCUUGAGUUCGGGAGAGGGAAGCGGAAUUCCGGGUGUAGCGGUGAAAUGCGCAGAUAUCCGGAGGAACACCGGUGGCGAAGGCGGCUUCCUGGACCGACACCGACGCUGAGGCGCGAAAGCUAGGGGAGCAAACGGG
RNAcentral lists this ribosomal RNA (253 nucleotides) under uncultured bacterium. RNAcentral's name for it is "partial 16S ribosomal RNA". It matches the Rfam family "Bacterial small subunit ribosomal RNA", at positions 524 to 776 of the family's 1533-position model. The record is from RNAcentral.